RNAcentral lists this unclassified non-coding RNA (431 nucleotides) under plant metagenome. Its description in RNAcentral is "partial contains 5.8S ribosomal RNA, internal transcribed spacer 2, and large subunit ribosomal RNA". The stretch from base 1 to 102 matches the Rfam family "5.8S ribosomal RNA", at positions 50 to 154 of the family's 154-position model. The record is from RNAcentral.
AAACUGCGAUAAGUAGUGUGAAUUGCAUUUAGUGAAUCAUCGAAUCUUUGAACGCACCCUGCACUCACUGGUAUUCCGGUGAGUACGCCUGUUUCAGUAUCAUUGAAAACACACAAUCAAAACAUUUUCUUUGGUUUGAUUGGCUUUGGGUCUAUCAAAAAGUUUGGCUUGUUUCUUACAAGCCAAGCGGCCUGAAAUAUAUUGUCUGGCUAAUUGCAUCGUUGAUGAUCGCUAUUAGACUUUGGCUUUUUUAAAUGAACUGGAGGUUGAUUAACCAGUUUUAGCUUUAGUCAAAUGGUCAUUGUAAAAAAAAUCUCGAUCUUGGCUAGGUGGUUAUAGCCGAAAAUUUUUUUUUGGCUAUAACCGAAACCAAUAUAAUCACAUUUAGUUAUCGAUCUGAAAUCAGGUGGGACUACCCGCUGAACUUAAGC